Triticum dicoccoides is the source of this 1935-nucleotide RNA transcript. RefSeq lists it as uncharacterized. Lineage: Eukaryota; Viridiplantae; Streptophyta; Magnoliopsida; Poales; Poaceae. The record is from RefSeq and is a predicted model, not a curated record. The transcript is spliced from 3 exons.
CUCAUCUCCCGGCCGCACGCACAGCACCACUCCUCCUCCCGGAGAUCGCCGCCGUCCGCAUCGCUGCAGCACGCGCCCCCUCACCUCGCCGGGGCCGAUCGCUCCACCGCCUGCCCGAGUGUAGGUGUGGGCGCUCAUGCCAGCGAGAGGCGCACGGGAUCUGUGGCCGUCGCUAGGGACCUGGACGCACGCGGGGCAGCCGCCGGCAAACGAAGCCGCUUGUGAGAGUAUGCCACGCGCGCCGAACACCGGUCUCCUCCCUGUUGUCAUAAGGCCGAUUCUGCCCUUUUGCCACUGCCCACUUCGAUAGGCCGAGGGUCACCAUACAUUGGUUCUCCGCCUUGCAGCACUUCCCAAUAGCGAUUAUGGCCUACAAGUCUCAAAAGGAGUGAUUAUAGCAUCUGUCAUGGCUCUCCAUAUUCCUGAUGGGUGUAGUAUGCUUGAUUCACCAUUGAGAGGAUUGUCAUAAAAUAUCUCAGAAUCCAGUCAUGGGCCAUAGAUAGAUUUCCAUGUAAGUUAUGUUUACAAUAUCAAGUUAAUAAAAAUAAAGAAUGCGCUAGGGACAUGGAUUAUGUCUAACUAACCAUUUUGUUUCUGCAGUAUGGAUUGAACUGGGAGAAUGAAUUAGUUAAUAACAUGAUUGUAAAGGAAUAUGAGAAGCUGACAUCACUAGAACUAAAGUUCUUAGUGUUGUAUUUCUCAGUCGGGUUCAUCAUUUCUUCAAUAGUCGAAACUUUAAAAUGUAAUCAUUGUCGUAAAGCAAGUGGAAUAUGUUUAUGCGAACUGUCAAACUAAAACUUAGAAAAAAUAUCGUUGAUUACUAAUAAACGAUGUAACUUUUGAAGGAAAAUUUCAUCGAUGAAGUAACAGAUGGAAUGAUUUGUUGUUCAUGUACAUUUUGAUAAUUUUUCUUUCAUCGUUUUUGUUGUUGAUGCACAGAAACAAAUCGUUGGUAGAUAGGAAUCUUUCUGAAAAUGAUUUCCUCGUAAUGCAGUUUCUCCGAACAUGUUCGUUUGAAGUCUUAUGCCUGAAAUAUGUUUUUAUUUAUUUUCCAUGUGUUAUUGUUCAGGGCCAAAACGUUGCAGAUAUGGGAAAAGGAUGUUGAUUGAUUCAUGCUUGGUGUUCUCUGGCAACCUAAAGUAUUAUUUGCUUCUGAUAAUAGCGAAGGAAGGUCCGCCACAUUUGUCAUUUAUCAUAUGCCUAUUUCUUUUGUGAGUGUGACCUAGGCGUUAAAUAUGGUUUGCCUAUUGACUAUGUUAGAGCUGACUUAUGCGAGCUGUUAGCCUUUUGAUGAACAUAUGGUGUUGAUUGUUUAAAGCUGGAAUGUUCAGCCUCUCUGCAUGCCAACUACCUUUCGGACACAUGAACCUAUUUUUACUAUGGUCAUCAUUUGGGAGUAGUAUGGACAUCUAAUUACUAUGUUGUUUUCAACAGUUAAGGAUAAUGGACUUACUUUUCAAAGUAUGUGUGUCAGUACAUGUGCUUCAUGCUAAAAUUUGGCUUUGUUUCUGGAAAUUAAGUACAUGUGAUUGUGAUUAACAUACAAUUUUGUCAAAUAUGCUGGUCUGAUUAUUUCCAUCUUUAUUAACAAUGGCAGGUUUAAUUACUUAAUACCUCAUAUGCUUUUUAGUGGUUUGUAGGUAGGCACAUUAAGAUACCUCAUGAUGAAGAUAUUCAGUAACGUGCUUGAAAUUAUUGGAAAAAGUUUGCAAGCAACCUACAUGACCUGCUCAAGCUGACCCUGUUACCACACUUGGAAUCAAGCUUCCAUUCCCUGCCCUUAUCGUCAAGAAACUUCAGGAAUAGUUCCCGUUUGCAACUCUUUUUGUAUAACCAAAUUGACAUCUCAGAUUGAUAUUUUACCUUGAGUGUUGAUUCAAUUGUGUGUGAUAUAAAGAUUUGAAUUCCAUGAGCACAUAUUUUUUCUAUUAUUAA